GUGGUGACCAGCGUGAUUGACAAGUAACCUAAAACUACCGAGCAACCCAAGGAUGGUAACCAGUGACGAAGGAGCUUGCUGCUUGGGAAUGAGUAGUGUCUGUCCACCCUUGUGUUGGGUGUUACCUUAUUUUGAAAUAUGAACUUUGUUUAAACUGCUUUACUUAUGCUUCCGCUAUUUAUCAACUGUUUGAACUUGAAACCUUAAACUCUGAACUUGAUAUUUGCUAAUCUUAUGGUUAGUAAGUAUUACUUUUGUUAACAAUUUAAUUAUUCGGUAUAAUUGGUGGCUGGAUCCUGGUCAGUCACGCCCUCGAAGCGGGUGUUAUCCGCAGGUGGAUUUUGGGGGUGUGACACCUUAAACAUUUAUGUUAGGAAAUUAAUACCUUAUGUAUUAUUCUGUGAAAAUAAAAUCUUAAUAUUUAUAUUAUGAUUCUAUUAC
This 441-nucleotide long non-coding RNA is filed under the name Helianthus annuus (common sunflower). RNAcentral's name for it is "hypothetical non coding rna". Lineage: Eukaryota; Viridiplantae; Streptophyta; Magnoliopsida; Asterales; Asteraceae. The record is from RNAcentral.